This 978-nucleotide ribosomal RNA is filed under the name uncultured SAR86 cluster bacterium. Its description in RNAcentral is "bacterial SSU rRNA". It matches the Rfam family "Bacterial small subunit ribosomal RNA", at positions 393 to 1365 of the family's 1533-position model. The record is from RNAcentral. Lineage: Bacteria; Pseudomonadati; Pseudomonadota; Gammaproteobacteria.
CAUACCGCGUGUGUGAAGAAGGCCUUCGGGUUGUAAAGCACUUUAAGCAGGGAGAAAAAGUUAUAAGUUAAUACCUUAUAACCCUGAUGUUACCUGCAGAAUAAGCACCGGCUAAUUCCGUGCCAGCAGCCGCGGUAAUACGGAAGGUGCAAGCGUUAAUCGGAAUUACUGGGCGUAAAGCGCGCGUAGGUGGUUUGUUAAGUUGGAUGUGAAAGCCCUGGGCUCAACCUAGGAACUGCAUCCAAAACUAACUCACUAGAGUACGAUAGAGGGAGGUAGAAUUCAUAGUGUAGCGGUGGAAUGCGUAGAUAUUAUGAAGAAUACCAGUGGCGAAGGCGGCCUCCUGGAUCUGUACUGACACUGAGGUGCGAAAGCGUGGGUAGCGAACAGGAUUAGAUACCCUGGUAGUCCACGCCGUAAACGAUGACAACUAGCUGUUGGGAGACUAUGUCUUUCAGUGGCGCAGCUAACGCUUUAAGUUGUCCGCCUGGGGAGUACGGCCGCAAGGCUAAAACUCAAAUGAAUUGACGGGGACCCGCACAAGCGGUGGAGUAUGUGGUUUAAUUCGAUGCAACGCGAAGAACCUUACCUACUCUUGACAUCGUGCGAACUUGGCAGAGAUGCCUUGGUGCCUUCGGGAGCGCACAGACAGGUGCUGCAUGGCUGUCGUCAGCUCGUGUUGUGAAAUGUUGGGUUAAGUCCCGUAACGAGCGCAACCCCUAUCCUUAUUUGCCAGCGAUUCGGUCGGGAACUCUAAGGAGACUGCCGGUGACAAACCGGAGGAAGGUGGGGAUGACGUCAAGUCAUCAUGGCCCUUACGAGUAGGGCUACACACGUGCUACAAUGGCAGGUACAAAGGGUUGCAAGACGGCGACGUGGARCUAAUCCCAUAAAGCCUGCCUCAGUCCGGAUCGGARUCUGCAACUCGACUCCGUGAAGUCGGAUCGCUAGUAAUCSSGGAUCASCAUGCCSSGGKGA